UUCGUAACAAGGUUUCCGUAGGUGAACCUGCGG
This 33-nucleotide ribosomal RNA is filed under the name Oedogonium sp. L7. RNAcentral's name for it is "partial 18S ribosomal RNA". Lineage: Eukaryota; Viridiplantae; Chlorophyta; Chlorophyceae; Oedogoniales; Oedogoniaceae. The record is from RNAcentral.